RNAcentral lists this ribosomal RNA (465 nucleotides) under uncultured bacterium. RNAcentral describes it as "partial 16S ribosomal RNA". It matches the Rfam family "Bacterial small subunit ribosomal RNA", at positions 28 to 507 of the family's 1533-position model. The record is from RNAcentral.
GACGAACGCUGGCGGCGUGCUUAACACAUGCAAGUCGAACGGAAAGGCCCCUUUGGGGGUACUCGAGUGGCGAACGGGUGAGUAACACGUGAGUAACCUGCCCUUGACUUCGGGAUAACUUCAGGAAACUGGGGCUAAUACCGGAUAGGAAUCCUUGCUGCAUGGUGGGGGUUGGAAAGCUUCGGCGGUUUUGGAUGGACUCGCGGCUUAUCAGCUUGUUGGUGGGGUAGUGGCUUACCAAGGCUUUGACGGGUAGCCGGCCUGAGAGGGCGACCGGCCACAUUGGGACUGAGAUACGGCCCAGACUCCUACGGGAGGCAGCAGUGGGGAAUAUUGCACAAUGGGCGGAAGCCUGAUGCAGCAACGCCGCGUGCUGGAUGACGGCCUUCGGGUUGUAAACCGCUUUCAGCAGGGGCGAAGCUUGUUGUGACGGUACCUGCAGAAGAAGCACCGGCUAACUACGUG